Molecule: long non-coding RNA, 299 nt
Filed under: Vombatus ursinus (common wombat)
Lineage: Eukaryota; Metazoa; Chordata; Mammalia; Diprotodontia; Vombatidae
Description: lncRNA (ENSVURG00010009536.1)
Source: RNAcentral
CGGAAACGCAAGGAAUCCCAGCAAGGAGGGUGCACCGGAGCACUCAGGGGGCUUUCACGGAGAUAUUAUUGAUAGCGUCAUAUUUCUUGAUGAAAAAAACCAAAAUAGCCAGUGUGUUCACUCCAUUGGUCUUACUGAUAGAAUCCAUCCUCUUUUUUUUCUUCAUUUUUGCAAAUAUACUGGCAUUACCAAGAUAUUUAACGAAGCUGAUGUGGCCCAUUUUUGAUAUUCUCAAUGAUUUUUUUGCAUUUCUAUACCUUGCCUAUGCAGGCUUCUACUCAAUAAUUCACCCACCAGGC